AUAUAUAUAGUUUAAUAAAAACACAUCAUUUUCAUUGAUAUAUUAGACUAAAUCUUAUAUAUA
Molecule: transfer RNA, 63 nt
Filed under: Setarhynchus sp. AH-2016
Lineage: Eukaryota; Metazoa; Arthropoda; Insecta; Coleoptera; Curculionidae
Description: tRNA-Glu
Source: RNAcentral